UUACUUUUAACUCAAACCAACCUAUUAAUCAAGGGGUUCUUUCAAAAAUGACUCAAAAUUUCAAGUCAAACACAAAAGUAACCUAUUUUUUUUUUAAACUUUGUUUUGUCCUAUUCACCCUAGAAGUUCUAGUUAUUCACGAAAAUGUCAUUAUUUUUUUUUUUUUAAAAUAAGGCUUUUACCUUACCAUCCUCAUCUCCACCAAAUAUUUACAAUUUUGCCAUUGACAUCAAUACCUCAACCACCAUGAACUAC
RNAcentral lists this long non-coding RNA (255 nucleotides) under Brassica napus (rape). RNAcentral's name for it is "long non-coding RNA (BNAP_LNC015676)". Lineage: Eukaryota; Viridiplantae; Streptophyta; Magnoliopsida; Brassicales; Brassicaceae. The record is from RNAcentral.